GAUGAACGCUGGCGGCGUGCCUAAUACAUGCAAGUAGAACGCUGAAGCUUGGUGCUUGCACCGAGCGGAUGAGUUGCGAACGGGUGAGUAACGCGUAGGUAACCUGCCUCUUAGCGGGGGAUAACUAUUGGAAACGAUAGCUAAUACCGCAUAAAAGUCGACAUCGCAUGAUGUUGACUUGAAAGGUGCAAUUGCAUCACUAAGAGAUGGACCUGCGUUGUAUUAGCUAGUUGGUGAGGUAACGGCUCACCAAGGCGACGAUACAUAGCCGACCUGAGAGGGUGAUCGGCCACACUGGGACUGAGACACGGCCCAGACUCCUACGGGAGGCAGCAGUAGGGAACUUCGGCAAUGGGGGCAACCCUGACCGAGCAACGCCGCGUGAGUGAAGAAGGUUUUCGGAUCGUAAAGCUCUGUUGUAAGAGAAGAACGAGUGUGAGAGUGGAAAGUUCACACUGUGACGGUAACUUACCA
RNAcentral lists this ribosomal RNA (474 nucleotides) under Streptococcus parasanguinis. RNAcentral describes it as "bacterial SSU rRNA". It matches the Rfam family "Bacterial small subunit ribosomal RNA", at positions 28 to 485 of the family's 1533-position model. The record is from RNAcentral. Lineage: Bacteria; Bacillati; Bacillota; Bacilli; Lactobacillales; Streptococcaceae.